RNAcentral lists this long non-coding RNA (206 nucleotides) under Elaeis guineensis (African oil palm). RNAcentral describes it as "long non-coding RNA (EGUI_LNC049251)". Lineage: Eukaryota; Viridiplantae; Streptophyta; Magnoliopsida; Arecales; Arecaceae. The record is from RNAcentral.
AUGGCAGAAAUUCAAUUCUGAGAAAGCCACCAAGCCAAAGAUAUUAGAAUAGAUCUCCAAACAUCUCCGACAAACAGUAGCAAUCGAGCCAGAAAUAGCCAAGUUCUUACAACAAAAAUCUACAAUGAGCUCAAGACUAGCAGCCGCAAAAUCCAAGCUUGAAUAUAAGAGGCUCCUCUUAGAAACCUAACUGAACUAGAGGAAGA